RNAcentral lists this ribosomal RNA (207 nucleotides) under uncultured delta proteobacterium. RNAcentral's name for it is "partial 16S ribosomal RNA". It matches the Rfam family "Bacterial small subunit ribosomal RNA", at positions 568 to 774 of the family's 1533-position model. Lineage: Bacteria; Deltaproteobacteria. The record is from RNAcentral.
CGUGUAGGCGGCUUUGCAAGUCGGGUGUGAAAGCCCACGGCUUAACCGUGGAAGUGCGCCCGAAACUGCAGAGCUUGAGUGUCGGAGAGGGUGGCGGAAUUCCGCAAGUAGAGGUGAAAUUCGUAGAUAUGCGGAGGAACACCGGUGGCGAAGGCGGCCACCUGGACGACAACUGACGCUGAGACGCGAAAGCGUGGGGAGCAAACA